Molecule: long non-coding RNA, 1108 nt
Filed under: Coturnix japonica (Japanese quail)
Lineage: Eukaryota; Metazoa; Chordata; Aves; Galliformes; Phasianidae
Description: lncRNA (ENSCJPG00005020608.1)
Source: RNAcentral
UUCCAUUGCUUUCUUUAAUUCUUUUAAUUUCUUUAAUCAGGUCUGAGGUCCUAUUGUACUGGAACUGCUGCAUGAAAACAAGUUUGCCUGAGUGUUUCUACCAGACCCUGGAGGCUUGAGCACAGGCAAACACAGGCAAGUUCAGCCUUUGUUCAUCACAGUAUUGUCUUCUUGAGACCAGAAUGCCCAACGAAGGAGCAUCUAGGAGUCCCAUCAGUUAUGUUAUAGCUUGGGUUGACUUUGGGCUCAAUAACACCUACAGGACCUUCUGAGAUGUUCCCUAAAUCCUAGCCAGAUAUAAACCCUUCCAAAACAAGGGUAACAGAGCAACCUGAUGUUUCCAGAGUGUGAUUUUUGCCUCAAAGCCUUGGGAUGGUGAGUGGCUCCUGGUGUGCAUCAAUCAGCCUUCAGUGAAGAGGGACCUAAAAAGCUGAUUACUUGGUCCGUAACAUGCUAUCCUCAGAACGAAACCCAAACUUUUCAGUGGAGGGUUUAUGUUGCUCAUAUGCCUUGUCUUCAAUUAUGUGAGUCAUGCAAGCAUUUCCCCCUGAACACUUUCCAGCUCCCCCCACCCCAUAUCUCACCCCUCCAUGUCCUCCUCCUCGUUUACUCAGCUCCAUUCUCUUCUGUGUUUCUUGCGCUGCCUACAGUGAUUGCAUUUAAUGUGAAUGCUAUGGGGGAGGGAAUAUGGAAGACAAGAAGGUAAAGAAAGGACUUCUGUGGAAUCUGCGUGAACUGAAACAUGACAAAGUCUGAAGUUAUAAGUGAUAGGUGGAAUGGAAGAGAGGAGCAAGUUGAAGUCCAGGUCCUGAGUGGCAAGAGACACCGUCAGCAUGGAGCUCUGAUGCUUAAAACAUGGGAGAAAUGUAGGAUGCUGGUACCACAGAAGUUGUGUGCUACAAACUUUGAGCUACACCUCCUGGCUAGGAAUGGAUCUGCCUCCAGCCGCAUGCUCCCCAAGCACUUUCAUACUCAACACAUUGCCCAGAUACACAGAGAGCCUGGACAAGGGAAGUCCUCCAGGAUGAAACACGGGGAGCUACUGCUGAUGAGCCUGCAGGACCUUAGAGCUCCUUGUGUGUCUGCUUUCUGCGCCUUGGCUGCAUAG